AAUGCUGCCUUAAACCCACAGGGGCACGCAUGCGACCAACAUAGGACUCACAGACUAUCCACCCACACUGUAACGAAUUGCUGUAAAUUUACUGCAGGAUUUCAACAGUAUUAAGGCGUUUUUUUAAAAUGCAGUGCUUUACUGUUAAUAUUAAAGAAAAUCUGUUAAAUUACAGUCCAUUCAGUUUUUUUAACAGAACUGUAAUGUAUUCCUAAAAUACAGCACUUUACCGUAAACGUAUCUUAACUAACACUAUCAUGCAGUAUUUUGGGCAUUCUGGGAAGUGGGAAGAGCAUUGCCCGAGCUGCACAUGUGAACCUGCCAUUCUUGAUCCAUCCCCAUCCUUCUAAUUAUUUGAUGAGUAUAGCAAUUUUAUUUUAUUGUUUUAUAUUAUAUAUUUAUAUCAUUGUUUUAUUUGAUUGUAUUUGUUUUGUUUGCAAUGAUUACUGCAUGUGCACAUCAUGCUAUAGAAGGAUAUACCAGCUAGCUAAAUUAAUUAAUCAAACAUACAAGGAGCACAUUUGAAUUUCUACUAAGUUAAUGUGUGUUGACACCUGCAUUUUGCCAGUGAAUUCAUGAAACUUUAUGAUAGUCUUGUGUAAACAUUUUACCGUCUAAGUCACUUCGACAGUUGACUACAGUGCAUGCUAAUUAUUGUGUGUCACAGUGCAGAUUCAAAUAAAGGCAAUAUUAUUUUCAAGAUAUUUAUUGGAUGACAAAUUAAGUACUGAAGAAUAUUUGUUUUGCUGAGCUCGAUUGACUUUUGACACAUUUCUUUGAUAUUACAGAUGCAGUAGAUGACUUUACUGCUGCCCUACUUAUCAUAGGUUCUGCCACUACAGCUGAUAUUGAGAGGACAAUCGCCAUACCCGAAACACCUCGUCUGAUACUGCUUGGCCUUUCUUUGGAAUAAACCCAGAGAGGCACCAAGACUGGACGAGGCAAAGUCGUAUCCAAGAAAACGGGCAAAGUUACAACCAAGAAGAGUACCACAGUGAACCCACAUGUGUCCACUCUGCUAAGGAGACUCAUGGAUUUUGAGUGGGACUUCAUUUGAGAUGGCACACACACACACGGCUACCUAGGCUGGAUUGAGAAACCUGGUGUCUUUGAAUGAGUCGUAACUCUCCUGCCAAUGUUCUUGGACUUUCGCACUAACAGUAACUACAGUUUUGUAACAUGUACUGUUUAGUGAUGUUCAUGUUAAUUAACAUUCAUUUAAUUAACAUGCAAUUGCUCUGCAUGUGAAGGUUUUGCAUGUCAACUUUACAUUCAAAUAAAAAGUAAAGUGCAAUAAGAAGCUGUGCAGCUUUUUCUCUUACAUUGCAAUCACAGGAUUGAAAAAAUCAGUAGGUUUAUUUUAUUAUGGUUCGCCAUCUGUUUGUAGCCAUGUUUCAAACAGAGACAGUG
Molecule: long non-coding RNA, 1410 nt
Organism: Centropristis striata (black sea bass)
Lineage: Eukaryota; Metazoa; Chordata; Actinopteri; Perciformes; Serranidae
Exons: 4
Source: RefSeq, a predicted model, not a curated record